Molecule: ribosomal RNA, 462 nt
Filed under: uncultured bacterium
Lineage: Bacteria
Description: partial 16S ribosomal RNA
Rfam family: Bacterial small subunit ribosomal RNA
Source: RNAcentral
GACGAACGCUGGCGGCGUGCUUAACACAUGCAAGUCGAACGGUGAAGCCCUUCGGGGUGGAUCAGUGGCGAACGGGUGAGUAACACGUGAGCAACCUGCCCCUGGCUCUGGGACAACCACUGGAAACGGUGGCUAAUACCGGAUACGACCCGCCUCGGCAUCGAGUGUGGGUGGAAAGUUUUUCGGCUGGGGAUGGGCUCGCGGCCUAUCAGCUUGUUGGUGAGGUGAAGGCUCACCAAGGCGCCGCCGGGUAGCCGGCCUGAGAGGGGGACCGGGCACACUGGGACUGAGACACGGCCCAGACGCCUACGGGAGGCAGCAGUGGGGAAUAUUGCACAAUGGGCGAAAGCCUGAUGCAGCGACGCCGCGUGAGGGAUGACGGCCUUCGGGUGGUAAACCUCUUUCAGCUCCGAAGAAGCGAAAGUGACGGUAGGAGCAGAAGAAGCACCGGCUAACUACGUG